UCGCGGUAAUACGUAAAAGACGAGUGUUAUUCAUCUUUAAUCGGUUUAAAGGGUACCUAGACGGAAAAUCAAGCUUAAUUAAACUAAGGACUAGUUUUCUAGAGUUUGACAUGAGAAGGUACGAACUAUCAGAGGAGAGAUAAAAUUUGUUGAUACUGGUGGGACGGACAACGGCGAAGGCAAUCUUCUACUAAAAACUGACGUUGAGGGACGAAGCCUUGGGGAGCGAGAAGGAUUAGAUACCCUAGUAGUCCUUGGAGAAAAUUAUGAGUGCCAUAGACUAAAGUGAAAAAGAAGUUCUUUUAAAAGAACUUUGUAUCUGAGCCUUAAUUGGAUACAAAGGUCUCGAGUAGCAGUUUAUAAAUGAAAGUGUAAGCAUUCCACCUCAUGACUAAAGCGGCAACGCCCAAAUUGAAAUCAUUAGACCGUUUCUGAAACCAGUAGUGAAGUAUGUUAUUUAAUUCGAUAACCCGCGAAUAACCUUACCACGUUUUGAAUUUAUUAAACAAGUGUUGCACGGCUGUCUUCAGUUAAUGUCGUGAGAUUUUGGUUUGUUCCAUUAAUUAACGAAAACCCUUGUUUCAUUUUUAUAUGAAAUAGUUCACCGUUAUAUUGGAAAGAUAAAAGGGAUCAAGACAAGUCAUCAUGGCCUUAAUAAC
RNAcentral lists this ribosomal RNA (659 nucleotides) under Chaetothyriales sp. A535. Its description in RNAcentral is "SSU rRNA". It matches the Rfam family "Bacterial small subunit ribosomal RNA", at positions 515 to 1208 of the family's 1533-position model. The record is from RNAcentral. Lineage: Eukaryota; Fungi; Ascomycota; Eurotiomycetes; Chaetothyriales.